RNAcentral lists this ribosomal RNA (496 nucleotides) under uncultured bacterium. Its description in RNAcentral is "partial 16S ribosomal RNA". It matches the Rfam family "Bacterial small subunit ribosomal RNA", at positions 28 to 506 of the family's 1533-position model. The record is from RNAcentral.
GAUGAACGCUGGCGGCGUGCCUAAUACAUGCAAGUCGAGCGAACGGACGAGAAGCUUGCUUCUCUGAUGUUAGCGGCGGACGGGUGAGUAACACGUGGAUAACCUACCUAUAAGACUGGGAUAACUUCGGGAAACCGGAGCUAAUACCGGAUAAUAUUUUGAACCGCAUGGUUCAAAAGUGAAAGACGGUCUUGCUGUCACUUAUAGAUGGAUCCGCGCUGCAUUAGCUAGUUGGUAAGGUAACGGCUUACCAAGGCAACGAUGCAUAGCCGACCUGAGAGGGUGACCGGCCCAACGGGAACGGGACCCCGGUCCAAACCCCUAGGGGAGGCAGCGGUGGGGAAUCUCCCGAAAUGGGCGAAAGCCUGCCGGGGCAACGCGCGGGGGGUGAGGAAGGUCUUCGGACGGGAAAACUUUUUUAUUGGGGAAGAACAAAUGUUGAAGUAACUGGGACCAUUUUGACGGUACCAAAACAAAAAGCCACGGCUAACCACGU